Molecule: ribosomal RNA, 443 nt
Filed under: uncultured bacterium
Lineage: Bacteria
Description: partial 16S ribosomal RNA
Rfam family: Bacterial small subunit ribosomal RNA
Source: RNAcentral
CCUACGGGUGGCAGCAGUGGGGAAUAUUGGGCAAUGGGCGAAAGCCUGACCCAGCAAUGCCGCGUGAAUGAAGAAGGUCUUAGGAUUGUAAAAUUCUGUCCUAUGGGAAGAAAAAAAUGACGGUACCAUAGGAGGAAGCCCCGGCUAACUACGUGCCAGCAGCCGCGGUAAUACGUAGGGGGCGAGCGUUGUCCGGAAUUACUGGGCGUAAAGAGAGCGUAGGCGGCACUACAAGUCUCAUGUGAAAUACCCGGGCUUAACUUGGGGGUUGCAUGGGAAACUGUAGAGCUUGAGUACAGGAGAGGCAAGCGGAAUUCCUAGUGUAGCGGUGAAAUGCAUAGAUAUCACGAAGAACUCCGAUUGCGAAGGCAGUUCACUGGACUGCAACUGACACUGAGGCUCGAAAGUGUGGGUAUCAAACAGGAUUAGAUACCCCUGUAGUC